This 1255-nucleotide long non-coding RNA is filed under the name Oryctolagus cuniculus (rabbit). RNAcentral describes it as "lncRNA (ENSOCUG00000030958.1)". Lineage: Eukaryota; Metazoa; Chordata; Mammalia; Lagomorpha; Leporidae. The record is from RNAcentral.
GGCAGGGCCGGAUGCUGCUGCUGGUGGCCGCUUUUGGCUUGGUGCUGCAGGGGCCUUGUGCCAACACACUGCGGAACUUCACCCAGGCCAGCGAGGCUGUGGCCUGUGGGGCAGAGCUGGCCCUGAACCAGACUGCUGAGAUGCUGGAGAGGGCCCGGCAGCCCCUCGUCAGUGCCCUGCACAAGAUUAAAGCGAUUGCCCAGAGGGCCAAAGUGGUGGCCGACCGGGUGCGCAAGUUCUUUCGGGCCAUCAUGGACGGCGUGAAGCACGUGGCCAGGGCCCUGCGCAAUGUGUGGUACUGGCUGCUGCACAUCGGCGACGUGUGCAAACGCAGAGCUGGGCAACCGUAUUCAAGUGUGCGCGGGUCUUCGACAACGCCAAGGACAAGUGUGUGACAGUCAUUCCCCGCGCCUACCACCUGUGCUACACACUCAUGCCGUUCAAGCUCGUGCUCUGCGGACUUGCCAGCCUGGUCCAGGUGUUCUGCGUCAUCCCUGAGUACAUCCAGCCCUUCUUGCGCAAGACCAUCGGCACCCGAAAAUGGAGGCCAGCAAGGGGAGGCGGCUCAGCAAAGAUGGGCUGCAGAGCAGCGACCCUGCCCCCAGCCCAGGUCCCUGAGGUCGCUCAUGGGCCAGGUGCACACUCAGGUGUGCAGGCUUGGUCCCCUGCGCCGUCCACCACACACCCACGCUCUGGGGGUUCCGGCUGCUCCCCAGGGACACCUCUGCCCCCCCCGUCUCUCUCUGGCCUCCCACCCUGCUUUCCCCAGGGACACUCCUGCCCCCCCAUCUGUCUGCUCCCCCUGCCCUGCUCCCCAGGGACACCCCUGCCCCCCAUCUGUCUGCUCCCCCCGCCCUUCUCCCUCAGGGACACCCCUGCCCCCCAUCUCUCUCUGCUCCCCCUGCCCUGCCCCCCAUCUCUCUGCUCCCCCUACCCUGCUCCCCAGAGACACUCCUGCCCCCCCAUCUCUCUGCUCUCCCCCUGCUCCCCCAGAGACACUCCUGCCCCCCCAUCUCUCUGCUCUCCCCCUGCUCCCCCAGGGACACCCCUGCCCCCCAUCUCUCUCUGCUCCCCCUGCCCUGCUCCCCAGGGACACCCCUGCCCCCCAUCUCUCUGCUUCCCCCCUGCUCCCCCAGGGACACCCCUGCCCCCAUCUCUCUCUGCUCCCCCUGCCCUGCCCCCCAUCUCUCUGCUCCCCCUGCCCCCCAUCUCUCUGCUCCCCCUGCCCUGCUUCCCCAGGGACACCCCUGCCCCC